RNAcentral lists this ribosomal RNA (1519 nucleotides) under seawater metagenome. RNAcentral's name for it is "bacterial LSU rRNA". It matches the Rfam family "Bacterial large subunit ribosomal RNA", at positions 375 to 2030 of the family's 2925-position model. The record is from RNAcentral.
AAAAGUUCUUUUUCACCUUUCCCUCACGGUACUUGUUAAAUAACGGAUUAUGUUAAAUUUGUUAAUAAUUGAGGAUCUACCCUCAAGCCUAUAAAUUUUUAAUAACCGAUAGUGAACAAGUACCGUGAGGGAAAGGUGAAAAAGAACUUUUUUAGAGUGUAAAAGAAUCUAAAAUAUAACGCCUCCAAUCAAUUGGCGCUUUCCGAAAGGUAAAAGUUACAGUGUACCUUUUGCAUAAUGGGCCAGUGAUUUUUUAUUUACGGCAAGUUUAAUUAAAAUUAGUAUGCGCAAAAAAAUUGAUUUCGAAUCAAGAAAUAUAUAAAGUCGUAAAUAAAAGACCCGAAGCUGAGUGAUCUAACCAUGAACAGGUUGAAAAAAUUGUGGAAACACGUUUUGGAGGACCGAACCCGUGUCUGUAGAAAAAUACUGGGAUGAUUUGUGGUUAGGAGUGAAAGGCUAAUCAAACUCAGGUAUAGCUGGUUUUCUGCGAAAUAUAUUUUAGUAUAGCCUGCAAAUUGUAGCUAGAGUAGGGUAGAGCACUUUUGAAGCAAGGGGGAUCUCGGAUCUUACUAAGUUUUGAAAAACUUCGAAUAUGCUCUAGUAUUUUGUGGAGUCAGACAAUAGGUGCGAAGGUCUAUUGUCAAGAGGGAAACAGCCCAGACUAUUUGAUAAGGUCUUCAAUUGUAGGUUAAGUGAUAAGAAUGUUUAAAGAUUUUGACAAUUAUAAAGUAGGCUUGGAAGCAGCCAUCUUUUUGAGAAAGCGUAACAGCUCAUUAAUCUAGUCUUUUUGCUUCGAAAAUGUAUAGAGGCUAAACCUACAACCGAAUCAGUAGAUAAUUUGGUAGCAGAACAUUCGGUAAGUCGUUAAAGAUACUUUGUAAAAAGUAUUGAAGAUAUCCGAAGAGAGUAUACUGGCAUUAGUAGCAUGAAACAGUGUUUAAUCACUGUCGCCGUAAAUCUAAGGUUUUCGUUACUACAUUUAAUGAUGACGAAAAAAGUUUAACCGGUCCCUAAGACAAAUUACAAAAGUAUAAGUUGAUGGGAUUUUUUAAUGUGACAAAAUGAAAAAAAUAUUAGUAAUUUAACGAUUUAUUACGGUAUUCUAUUGUUUUCUGGAAACAGCAUUAAAAUAAACGACCGUACCUUAAACCGACACAGGUAGAUGGGUAGAAUAUACUAAGGCGUUCAAGAUAAGUAUGUUGAAGGAACUCGGCAAAUUUGCUCUGUAACUUCGGAAGAAGGAGUGACGUAUUAAGGGAAACCUAUAUGCGUUGGCACUAAAGAGGGAGUAACAACUGUUUAACAAAAACACAGGUCUUUGCUAAUUUGAGAAAAGAUGUAUAAAGACUGACACCUGCCCGGUGCUGUAAGGUUACGUAGAGAUGCUAAGGCAUCAAAAUCAAGCUCCAGUAAACGGCGGCUGUAACUCUGACGGUCCAAAGGUAGCGAAAUUCCUUGUCGGGUAAGUUCCGAGAUCGGAAGAGCGUCGUGUAGGGAAAGAGUGUAGAUCUCGGUGGUC